UACGAAGGGGGCUAGCGUUGUUCGGAAUUACUGGGCGUAAAGCGCGCGCAGGCGGUCUUCCAAGUCAGUGGUGAAAGCCCGGAGCUCAACUCCGGAACUGCCAUUGAAACUGUGAGACUUGAGGAUGAGAGAGGUGAGUGGAAUUCCCAGUGUAGAGGUGAAAUUCGUAGAUAUUGGGAAGAACACCGGUGGCGAAGGCGGCUCACUGGCUCAUUUCUGACGCUCAGGCGCGACAGCGUGGGGAUCAGACAGG
This 253-nucleotide ribosomal RNA is filed under the name uncultured bacterium. RNAcentral describes it as "partial 16S ribosomal RNA". It matches the Rfam family "Bacterial small subunit ribosomal RNA", at positions 524 to 776 of the family's 1533-position model. The record is from RNAcentral.